GUCUUUUUGUUAAAAAUUUAAAGUCUAACCUGCUCAAUGAUUAUUUAAAUAGCCGCAGUAUUUUGACUGUGCAAAGGUAGCAUAAUCAAUAGUUUUUUAAUUGAAAACUGGAAUGAAAGGUUGAAUAAGAAAAAUUCUGUCUCAAAUUAAUUAUUUAAAAAUUUAUUUUUAAGUUAAAAAGCUUAAAUUUUUUUUAUAGACGAGAAGACCCUAUAGAGUUUUAUUUUUUAUUUUUAAUUAUAAAAAAGAAAAAAUUAAUAUUUGAARAUAAAAAAUUUGAUUGGGGUGAUUAAAAAAUUUAAUUAACUUUUUUUUUAAUAAACAUAAAUUUAUGAUUUAUUGAUCCAUUAUAAUGAUAAAAGAAUAAAUUACCUUAGGGAUAACAGCGUAAUUACUUUUGAAAGUUCUUAUUAAAAAUGUAGAUUGCGACCUCGAUGUUGGAUUAAAAUUUAUAAUUGGUGUAGAAGCUAAUUUAUUAAGUCUGUUCGACUUUUAAAAUUUUACA
RNAcentral lists this ribosomal RNA (505 nucleotides) under Holopsis sp. CO943. Its description in RNAcentral is "partial 16S ribosomal RNA". Lineage: Eukaryota; Metazoa; Arthropoda; Insecta; Coleoptera; Corylophidae. The record is from RNAcentral.